Molecule: ribosomal RNA, 1452 nt
Filed under: uncultured Bacteroidota bacterium
Lineage: Bacteria; Pseudomonadati; Bacteroidota
Description: bacterial SSU rRNA
Rfam family: Bacterial small subunit ribosomal RNA
Source: RNAcentral
GAUGAACGCUAGCUACAGGCUUAACACAUGCAAGUCGAGGGGUAGCACAAUAGUAGUAAUACUAUGGGUGACGACCGGCGCACGGGUGAGUAACACGUAUCCAACCUGCCCUGUACUCGGGGAUAGCCUUUCGAAAGAAAGAUUAAUACCCGAUGUUAUGUAUGAGCGGCAUCGCUUAUGCAUCAAAGAUUUAUCGGUACGGGAUGGGGAUGCGUUCCAUUAGGCAGUUGGCGGGGUAACGGCCCACCAAACCUACGAUGGAUAGGGGUUCUGAGAGGAAGGUCCCCCACAUUGGAACUGAGACACGGUCCAAACUCCUACGGGAGGCAGCAGUGAGGAAUAUUGGUCAAUGGCCGUAAGGCUGAACCAGCCAAGUAGCGUGAAGGAUGACUGUUUUAUUUGCUUGUAAACUUCUUUUAUAUGGGAAUAAAGUGCGCCAGGGGNGNGNGNGGGUGUAUGUACCUUAUGAAUAAGCAUCGGCUAACUCCGUGCCAGCAGCCGCGGUAAUACGGAGGAUGCGAGCGUUAUCCGGAUUUAUUGGGUUUAAAGGGAGCGUAGGCGGGUUGUUAAGUCAGUUGUGAAAGUUUGCGGCUCAACCGUAAAAUUGCAAUUGAAACUGGCAUCCUUGAGUGCAGCAGAGGUAGGCGGAAUUCGUGGUGUAGCGGUGAAAUGCUUAGAUAUCACGAAGAACUCCAAUUGCGAAGGCAGCUUACCGGAGUGUAACUGACGCUGAUGCUCGAAAGUGUGGGUAUCAAACAGGAUUAGAUACCCUGGUAGUCCACACAGUAAACGAUGAAUACUCGCUGUUGGCGAUAUACGGUCAGCGGCCAAGCGAAAGCAUUAAGUAUUCCACCUGGGGAGUACGCCGGCAACGGUGAAACUCAAAGGAAUUGACGGGGGCCCGCACAAGCGGAGGAACAUGUGGUUUAAUUCGAUGAUACGCGAGGAACCUUACCCGGGCUUGAAUUGCAGAGGAAUGUGGUGGAAACAUUACAGCCGUAAGGUCUCUGUGAAGGUGCUGCAUGGUUGUCGUCAGCUCGUGCCGUGAGGUGUCGGCUUAAGUGCCAUAACGAGCGCAACCCUCAUUGAUAGUUACCAUCGGGUAAUGCCGGGGACUCUAUCAAGACUGCCGUCGUAAGAUGUGAGGAAGGUGGGGAUGACGUCAAAUCAGCACGGCCCUUACGUCCGGGGCUACACACGUGUUACAAUGGCAGGUACAGCAGGUUGCUACACAGCGAUGUGAUGCUAAUCCGUAAAACCUGUCUCAGUUCGGAUCGAAGUCUGCAACCCGACUUCGUGAAGCUGGAUUCGCUAGUAAUCGCGCAUCAGCCACGGCGCGGUGAAUACGUUCCCGGGCCUUGUACACACCGCCCGUCAAGCCAUGAAAGCCGGGGGUACCUGAAGUCCGUAACCGUUGAGGAUCGGCCGAGGGUAAAACCGGUGAUUGGGGCU